UGGGGAAUCUUGCGCAAUGGGCGGAAGCCUGACGCAGCGACGCCGCGUGCGGGAAGAAGGCCUUCGGGUUGUAAACCGCUUUCAGGAGGGACGAAGCCACUCGGGUGAAUAGCCCAGAGGGUGACGGUACCUCCAGAAGAAGCCCCGGCUAACUACGUGCCAGCAGCCGCGGUAAUACGUAGGGGGCUAGCGUUGUCCGGAUUCAUUGGGCGUAAAGCGCGUGUAGGCGGCCAGGUAGGUCCGAUGUGAAAACUGGAGGCCCAACCUCCAGCUGUCAUUGGAAACCAUCUGGCUAGAGUCCGGAAGAGGAGAGUGGAAUUCCUGGUGUAGCGGUGAAAUGCGCAGAUAUCAGGGAAGAACACCGAUGGCGAAGGGCAGCUCUCUGGGACGGUACUGACGCUGAGACGCGAAAGCGUGGGGAGCGAACAGGAUUAGGAUACCCUGGUAGUCCACGCCGUAAACGAUGGGCG
RNAcentral lists this ribosomal RNA (470 nucleotides) under uncultured Actinomycetes bacterium. Its description in RNAcentral is "bacterial SSU rRNA". It matches the Rfam family "Bacterial small subunit ribosomal RNA", at positions 355 to 815 of the family's 1533-position model. Lineage: Bacteria; Bacillati; Actinomycetota; Actinomycetes. The record is from RNAcentral.